This is a long non-coding RNA of Manis javanica (Malayan pangolin), 2885 nucleotides long. RefSeq lists it as uncharacterized. NCBI's taxonomy places the organism in Eukaryota, Metazoa, Chordata, Mammalia, Pholidota, Manidae. The record is from RefSeq and is a predicted model, not a curated record.
UGUUUUUGAAACGCUCUCUCUCUCUCUCUGGUGCAGAUGAGAGAUUGAGUUCUAGCUGGCCUGAAUAAAGGCUCUUUGCUUUUAUAUUGGUGUUGGCUCCUCGGUGGUCUUCUGGGUUCGUGACUUUGGGCAUAACAUUUGGGGGCUUGUCUGGAAUCCCAGAGGCCCCCAGGACCCCCAACCCGGAGGGCCAGUGGCUGGUCUGGCCUAAGCUGAAAGCUCUUUAUGAGACCAGAACCCCUCCAGAACCGCACCGCUACCAUCCAGGUGACUGGGUGUACGUCUGGAGACACCAACACCAGACACUUCAACCACACUGGAAGGGACCCUACAUCGUGAUCCUGACCACUCCCACCGCUCUCAAGGUUGACGGGAUUACUCUCUGGGUCCACUGCACCCACGUCCGACCAGCUGACCCACAUGCUGUUCUCAAGGACUUUGUUCCAGGAUGGAAAAGUCAGCCAGACAAAGACAAUCCUCUAAAGCUAAGACUGCACCCUUCUCACUUACCCCACUAAUGUUGCUUAUGCUAUGCCUUCCUCAUGCCAAAACCCGCGACCCUAACCCUCAUACCCCCUAUAAUAGUACAUGGCAAAUCAUUACCCCAGCUUCCCAACAGGUAGUAGUCCAGUUAAUGGGACAAUACCAUAGGGGGACCUGGUGGCCUACCCUCACUGUGGACCUGUGCACUCUCUUUAAACAAGACCCUUGGCACGAAGGUAGAAUAGGGAUACCAGGAUGCGGUACCCAGACUUCCAUGAAAGAACUCCAAAAUACCUGCUUCUAUGUAUGUCCAGGCUCCCAGGCCGACAGUGCCAAGAUCUCACAGUGUGGUGGGUGGGCAGAUUUUUUCUGUAAAAAUUGGGGUUGUGAACAGACUGGGACAUGCUAUUGGCUGACAGGAAAGCCUCCCCCAGGCCUCAUAAAAAUCCAACGAAAUACAUCUCACACCCAAUGCACGACUAAUCCCACCUGCAACCUAAUUGACAUCUCCUUUACAGAUGCAGGAAAAAAAGAAACAAACUGGGAAGAAGGGCAUACGUGGGGACUACGACUCUACCAGAGCGGAUAUGAUAAUGGGGUCUUGUUUAUGCUCAGGCGACUCGAAAGGCCUCUAGCCAGGCCCCAGAGAAUAGGCCCAAACCCUGUGCUAGCACCUCCUCCACCCAAACCUCAGACAACUCCUAUCUCCCCAUCGCCCUCCCCUAUACCUGCCAUAACGUCUGCGUCCAAUAACACCUCUGAUGCAGACACAAUCACCCCCAUCCUGACCUCCCUCCCACAGGACCCUCCCUUCCACAGCCCCUCUCAACAUCCACUUUGAGAUCUGAUGUUCCAAGCUUACAGGUUCCUCAAUGCAACCAAAUCCAAUCUUACCCGAUCUUGCUGGCCUUGCUGUGACAUCCAGCCUCCCUUCUAUGAGGGAAUCGCAAUGUUGGGUCAUUACAACACAACUUCCAACCCUAAUGCCUGUAGAUGGCACCAAAAGACUCAAGGAUUCACUUUAUAGUCAGUGUCAGGUUACGGCCUCUGUUUAGGAAACCCCCCCUUCAAUAUCAACCCCUCUGUAACAAAACCAUAAACCCCUCUAGUCCAGACUAUUAUGUACCCGCCCAAGAAGGAUGGUGGGCCUGCUCGACAGGCCUGACACCUUGUGUCCAUGGGCAGGUCUUAAAUAAGACUAAAGGAUUUUGUGUCUUAGUCCAGCUUCUUCCUAAAAUCCUUUAUCACUCAGAAGAAGAAAUAUAUCAGAUAUUUGAGUGAGAUCAGACGUGCUAGGAGAGAACCCAUUUCAGCAUUAACAAUUGCAAUGCUCUUUGGAAUAGGGCUGACAGGAGUUGGGACUGGAGUAGCUUCAUUAAUGAUGCAAAGCUCCCAUUAUAACAGCUUGAGAGCUGCAAUAGAUUUAGAACUUGAGAGAAUAGAAACCUCCAUCUCCCACCUUCAAGAAUCCUUAACCUCUUUAUCAGAAGUUGUCCUCCAGAACAGGAGAAGUUUAGGCUUAAUUUUCUUACAACAAGGAGGGUUAUGUGCAGCCCUAGGGGAAGAAUGCUGUUUCUUUACAGAUCACUCGGGAAUUGUCAAAGAAUCUAUGGCUAAAGUCCGGGAAGGCUUGGCCAAACGCAAGAGAGAACAGGAACAACAACAAGGAUGGUUUGAAUCUCUAUUUAACAAUUCCCCAUGGUUAACAACCUUAGUCUCCACCCUAAUGGGCCCUCUAGUUAUACUGUUACUCUUGCUUACCUUUGGACCAUGUAUCCUCAAUAGACUGAUGACUCUUAUCAAAGAUAGAAUUAAUACAGUCCAGCUAAUGGUGCUAAGACAGCAGUAUCAGCCUUUGUCUCCUUACAACUGUGAAACCCCAUUAGACCCAUGAUUGGGUCCCCUCUUACGAUCCAAAGAGACUGGGUGAAUGAAAGGGCAAACCAGGGACCAACUCCAUUUUGUUCUGUGUCCUCCAUCUUAAAUAACUAUGUCCCCAACAUGACCCCUUUCCGGGAGAGUUCCCGCGCAAACUACUCCAGCCAAUCGGGACCCGGAUCCUACUCCAGCCAAUCGAGACCCAGAUCCUACUCCAGCCAAUCGGGACUCGGGUUCUCCUCCCACCAGUCAGCAAGAAGCCCACCAACUCCCCAACCAAUCUGCCAGAGCCAUGACCAUCACCCCGCCAACUACUCCUAGACCCAGUCAAUCAGCCAAGACCCCGCCCCUUACCUUACCCCACCAACUGCCCCUAUAGCCCCAUAAAACCUUUGUGUUUUUGAAACUCUCUCUCUCGCUCUCUCUCUCUCUCUCUCUCUCUCUCUGGAAUCUCACCCCUGCUUUGGUGCAGAUGAGAGAUUGAGCUCCAGCUGGCUUGAAUAAAGGCUCUUUGCUUUUGCAUU